AGAUACCCUGUUACUUAUAGUUAAAAAAUUUUGGAGAAGUAGUAAUAAUGAAAUUUAACGGAUUUGGCGGCAAGAUAGCCAUUCAGAGGAACCUGCCCUGUAAACGAUGAACCACGAAAUACCCUACUUUUACUUGUUAACAGUUUGUAUACCGCUGUUGUCAGUCAGUUUUUUUAGAAAACUUUCUAUUAUGAUAUAGCCAUAAACUUCAAGUAAAGGUGCAGCUUAUGUAAAAGAUAGAGGUGGGUUACAUUUAUAGAAUAAAACGAAUAAAGAUUUUGAAAUACUUUUGAAGUUGGAUUUGAUUGUAAAGUUCAAGAAAACU
This 325-nucleotide ribosomal RNA is filed under the name Trevathana sarae. Its description in RNAcentral is "partial 12S ribosomal RNA". Lineage: Eukaryota; Metazoa; Arthropoda; Thecostraca; Balanomorpha; Pyrgomatidae. The record is from RNAcentral.